AACCUCCGCAAUGUGAGAAAUCGCGACGGGGGGAUCCCAAGUGCCAUUCUUAACGGGAUGGCUUUUCAUUAGUGUAAAGAGCUUUUGGAAUAAGAGCUGGGCAAGACCGGUGCCAGCCGCCGCGGUAACACCGGCAGCUCUAGUGGUAGCUGUUUUUAUUGGGCCUAAAGCGUUCGUAGCCGGUUUGAUAAGUCACUGGUGAAAUCCUGUAGCUUAACUGUGGGAAUUGCUGGUGAUACUGUUGAACUUGAGGUCGGGAGAGGUUAGCGGUACUCCCAGGGUAGAGGUGAAAUUCUGUAAUCCUGGGAGGACCACCUGUGGCGAAGGCGGCUAACUGGAACGAACCUGACGGUGAGGGACGAAAGCUAGGGGCGCGAACCGGAUUAGAUACCCGGGUAGUCCUAGCCGUAAACGAUGCGGACUUGGUGUUGGGAUGGCUUUGAGCCGCUCCGGUGCCGAAGGGAAGCUGUUAAGUCCGCCGCCCGGGAAGUACGGUCGCAAGACUGAAACUUAAAGGAAUU
This 521-nucleotide ribosomal RNA is filed under the name uncultured bacterium. RNAcentral's name for it is "bacterial SSU rRNA". It matches the Rfam family "Archaeal small subunit ribosomal RNA", at positions 345 to 866 of the family's 1478-position model. The record is from RNAcentral.